RNAcentral lists this long non-coding RNA (271 nucleotides) under Gossypium barbadense (sea-island cotton). RNAcentral's name for it is "long non-coding RNA (GBAR_LNC006846)". Lineage: Eukaryota; Viridiplantae; Streptophyta; Magnoliopsida; Malvales; Malvaceae. The record is from RNAcentral.
UGGGCGGUCGAUGGUAGUCCCCCUGCAUACGACACGAAUUGGGCAACAUCUUCCAGAUCCGAAUUAUGCACCAGAGCCGGAGCCACAGCAGGAGUCAGAGCUGGAACUACACUCUAGAGGUAGUUCUUAUCAUCCAAAUUUAGGGGGCGAUGACUAUUUCUCGGGCUCCUCAGGCUACGAAUAUCAUUCAGAGUUUGAUAUCUUCAGCCCACUACCACCUCAGUACUCCAGUCAUCCCGGCUCAUAUUUAUCUCAGUACUCUACUCCUUCC